UACAGAGGGGGCAAGCGUUAUUCGGAAUUACUGGGCGUAAAGCGUGCGUAGGCGGUUUUUUAAGUCUGCUGUGAAAGCCCUGGGCUCAACCUGGGAAUGGCGGUGGAUACUGAGAAGCUGGAGUACGGUAGAGGAAGGUGGAAUUCCCGGUGUAGCGGUGAAAUGCGUAGAGAUCGGGAGGAACAUCAGUGGCGAAGGCGGCCUUCUGGACCAGUACUGACGCUGAGGCACGAAAGCGUGGGGAGCAAACAGG
Molecule: ribosomal RNA, 253 nt
Filed under: uncultured bacterium
Lineage: Bacteria
Description: partial 16S ribosomal RNA
Rfam family: Bacterial small subunit ribosomal RNA
Source: RNAcentral